UACGGAGGGGGCUAGCGUUGUUCGGAAUCAUUGGGCGUAAAGAGCGUGUAGGCGGUCCGGUAAGUCCGCUGUGAAAGUCGGGGGCUCAACCCUCGAAUGCCGGUGGAUACUGUCGGGCUAGAGUGCGGAAGAGGCGAGUGGAAUUCCUGGUGUAGCGGUGAAAUGCGCAGAUAUCAGGAGGAACACCUAUUGCGAAGGCAGCUCGCUGGGACGUAACUGACGCUGAGACGCGAAAGCGUGGGGAGCAAACAGG
This 253-nucleotide ribosomal RNA is filed under the name uncultured bacterium. RNAcentral's name for it is "partial 16S ribosomal RNA". It matches the Rfam family "Bacterial small subunit ribosomal RNA", at positions 524 to 776 of the family's 1533-position model. The record is from RNAcentral.